This 108-nucleotide unclassified non-coding RNA is filed under the name Chryseobacterium soldanellicola. Its description in RNAcentral is "Flavo-1 RNA". The record is from RNAcentral. Lineage: Bacteria; Pseudomonadati; Bacteroidota; Flavobacteriia; Flavobacteriales; Weeksellaceae.
CCUUAGCCCCGAUUGCAGCAUUUGUCUGAGCUCAUUUUGGAAGUUUCGGCGGCGGCUUUGCCGCCGCCGAAACUUCCAAAAUAGCGAGUGCGGAAAGCGGGAUAAAGC